AUUGAACGCUGGCGGCAUGCCUUACACAUGCAAGUCGAACGGCAGCAUGAUCUAUCUUGCUCGAUUGAUGGCGAGUGGCGAACGGGUGAGUCAUACAUCGGAACGUGCCCUGUAGUGGGGGAUAACUAGUCGAAAGAUUAGCUAAUACCGCAUACGACCUGAGGGUGGAAGUGGGGGACCGCAAUGCCUCAUGCUAUAGGAGCGUCCGAUGUCUUAUUAGCUAGUUGGUGAGGUAAAGGCUCACCAAGGCUACGAUCAGUAGCUGGUCUGAGAGGACGAUCAGCCACACUGGGACUGAGACACGGACCAGACUCCUACGGGAGGCAGCAGUGGGGAAUUUUGGACAAUGGGCGAAAGCCUGAUACAGCAAUGCCGCGUGUGUGAAGAAGGCCUUCGGGUUGUAAAGCACUUUUGUCCGGAAAGAAAUGGCUCUGGUUAAUACCUGGGGUGGAUGACGGUAACGGAAGAAUAAGGACCGGCUAACUACGUG
RNAcentral lists this ribosomal RNA (490 nucleotides) under uncultured bacterium. RNAcentral's name for it is "partial 16S ribosomal RNA". It matches the Rfam family "Bacterial small subunit ribosomal RNA", at positions 30 to 507 of the family's 1533-position model. The record is from RNAcentral.